UACGUAGGGGGCAAGCGUUGUCCGGAAUUAUUGGGCGUAAAGCGCGCGCAGGCGGUCCUUUAAGUCUGAUGUGAAAUCUUGCGGCUCAACCGCAAGCGGUCAUUGGAAACUGGGGGACUUGAGUACAGAAGAGGAAAGCGGAAUUCCACGUGUAGCGGUGAAAUGCGUAGAGAUGUGGAGGAACACCAGUGGCGAAGGCGGCUUUCUGGUCUGUAACUGACGCUGAGGCGCGAAAGCGUGGGGAGCAAACAGG
This 253-nucleotide ribosomal RNA is filed under the name uncultured bacterium. RNAcentral describes it as "partial 16S ribosomal RNA". It matches the Rfam family "Bacterial small subunit ribosomal RNA", at positions 524 to 776 of the family's 1533-position model. The record is from RNAcentral.